AAAUUGAAGAGUUUGAUCAUGGCUCAGAUUGAACGCUGGCGGCAGGCCUAACACAUGCAAGUCGAGCGGCAGCGGGAAGUAGUUUACUACUUUGCCGGCGAGCGGCGGACGGGUGAGUAAUGUCUGGGAAACUGCCUGAUGGAGGGGGAUAACUACUGGAAACGGUAGCUAAUACCGCAUAACGUCUUCGGACCAAAGUGGGGGACCUUCGGGCCUCACGCCAUCGGAUGUGCCCAGAUGGGAUUAGCUAGUAGGUGGGGUAAUGGCUCACCUAGGCGA
Molecule: ribosomal RNA, 279 nt
Filed under: Yersinia enterocolitica
Lineage: Bacteria; Pseudomonadati; Pseudomonadota; Gammaproteobacteria; Enterobacterales; Yersiniaceae
Also listed under: 1 other name
Description: partial 16S ribosomal RNA
Rfam family: Bacterial small subunit ribosomal RNA
Source: RNAcentral